AUUCUGCCCAAGCGGGGAAGGAUGAGAAGCUUCGACCAAGCUUCGACUUGAGCGCCAGCGAGAGAGCGUUGCCGCAGGCAACGACCCGAAGGGCGAAGCGCGCAGCGCUGAGUAAUCCUUCCCCCACCACCA
This 132-nucleotide small RNA is filed under the name Escherichia coli. Its description in RNAcentral is "RtT sRNA". It matches the Rfam family "RtT RNA". From Rfam's summary of the family: This family represents a bacterial cis-regulatory element known as RtT RNA. The exact function of RtT is unknown although it is thought that it may be involved in changing the cellular response in relation to amino acid starvation. The record is from RNAcentral. Lineage: Bacteria; Pseudomonadati; Pseudomonadota; Gammaproteobacteria; Enterobacterales; Enterobacteriaceae.